RNAcentral lists this ribosomal RNA (160 nucleotides) under Streptococcus pneumoniae. RNAcentral's name for it is "partial 16S ribosomal RNA". It matches the Rfam family "Bacterial small subunit ribosomal RNA", at positions 1373 to 1533 of the family's 1533-position model. The record is from RNAcentral. Lineage: Bacteria; Bacillati; Bacillota; Bacilli; Lactobacillales; Streptococcaceae.
CCCGGGCCUUGUACACACCGCCCGUCACACCACGAGAGUUUGUAACACCCGAAGUCGGUGAGGUAACCGUAAGAGCCAGCCGCCUAAGGUGGGAUAGAUGAUUGGGGUGAAGUCGUAACAAGGUAGCCGUAUCGGAAGGGGCGGCUGGAUCACCUCCUUU